GCUGGAAGCUAAGAUAUUACGGCCUUCUCUCUUGGAGAAUGAUAUAUUGGAACUUGGAAGGACCCCCGUACUUGACUGUCCUGCAGCUUAGAAUAGGCAGCUGCAAGCGCAAAUAAACAUUUCAGUGCGGGACACGGAGAAGAACAGGUGAACGGAAAUCCAUUGCUGAUAUCAGACUUGCAGAAAACUUUACAUGCUGUUUGUCAUCGCAUGGCGACUGGAAUAUCAGGUCUUGCUGAUUGAUCCUCCCGAAGUCAGCUGAAACCUAUAACCAGCCGUCGGCGUGGGGCUAAGUGCAAAGAACCGUGACCACUGGUACCGAAUCACUUUGAUAACUGUGGAAGAAGCACGGUGGUGGGGGUGCGAGCAGGCAGGCAAAACGGAGAAAGGCGUGGCCUUACGUGCAUGCCACGGUGUCGAUCCGGAGGCGCACCACUGCACCUGCCUGUCGUUCCCUCAAGUCGCAAGCCAUUUCUGGUGCACCGUCCUGUCAUCAAGGAGCAGACGUACAGGGAUGGUAUGCUAGGCAGCUAUUGUGAUCUAGAGCGAGAGGUUCCUUUCAUGGACUUAUCGCUGCAGGGCACCGGCAGGUCACGAGGAGCUCACGGUUAGCCGCCUAUUUCCAUGAACCGAGAGAGUGGUUAGCUUCCAGCCUUCCACCGAUCAGCUGCUACUACCAGUUCUGGGUCCCUGUUGAUUGGCCGAACGAGACCUGACGGCAGCAGAUGGAAUCUCUCCCCCUGGCCUGAGGAUCACGAGGAAUCUCGAUCACUUGGUAACAAGAUUCCCCUCCCAUUGAUGACGUUUAAGAUCUAAACCAAAGCAACGUCUCCCUCUUCUACAGUUGGAGUUGUUGGACCCGACCUACUAUGAUAGAACAGAGGCACCUAAACAUGGGCAUCUCCGGUCUCCAAAACGCGCCCGAUUCAACUUGUUUCUUUCUCGUUUUCUUUUGAAGAUUCUAUGUUGUAUGUAUAUGAUGCGUUCUUUUUCUUUCUCUCUUUUUUUUUUGAGAUUCUAUGUUGAAUGGGGCUCAUGCACAUCGAAAACAUUCUGGGUGCCGCUCGAUUUCAUGAGGAAAACGCCGUGACACGAGGUAAGGGCAACUUGUGCAACACAGGGAGGUCUGGACGAAAAACUCCUCGUUACCUCGCUCGACUCGUGGUCUGCUGUGCUCGGCUCGGCUCGUUGUGUUUUCCUAACGAGCUGAGCUCAUGUUUUCACUCGCGAGCAGCUUGCGAGCCUAACGAGCCAAAGGAAACGGGCUCCUCAGCCGCCAUUCCGAGGCAAGCCAAAUGAGCCCCAGAGCCUU
Molecule: long non-coding RNA, 1312 nt
Organism: Panicum hallii
Lineage: Eukaryota; Viridiplantae; Streptophyta; Magnoliopsida; Poales; Poaceae
Exons: 5
Source: RefSeq, a predicted model, not a curated record